UACGUAGGUGGCAAGCGUUGUCCGGAAUCAUUGGGCGUAAAGCGCGCGUAGGUGGCUUAUCAGGUCUGAUGUGAAAUCUUGGGGCUCAACUCCAAGCGUGCAUCGGAAACCGGUUUGCUAGAGUCCGGGAGAGGAGAGUGGAAUUCCUGGUGUAGCGGUGAAAUGCGUAGAUAUCAGGAGGAACACCGGUUGCGAAGGCGGCUCUCUGGAACGGUACUGACGCUGAGGCGCGAAAGCUAGGGGAG
This 245-nucleotide ribosomal RNA is filed under the name uncultured bacterium. RNAcentral's name for it is "partial 16S ribosomal RNA". It matches the Rfam family "Bacterial small subunit ribosomal RNA", at positions 524 to 768 of the family's 1533-position model. The record is from RNAcentral.